UAGAAUGAUUUUCAGAUUCUU
Molecule: non-coding RNA, 21 nt
Filed under: Arabidopsis thaliana (thale cress)
Lineage: Eukaryota; Viridiplantae; Streptophyta; Magnoliopsida; Brassicales; Brassicaceae
Source: RNAcentral